RNAcentral lists this ribosomal RNA (405 nucleotides) under uncultured archaeon. Its description in RNAcentral is "SSU rRNA". It matches the Rfam family "Archaeal small subunit ribosomal RNA", at positions 18 to 426 of the family's 1478-position model. The record is from RNAcentral.
CGGCGGCCACCGCUAUAGGAAUUCGAUUAAGACAUGCGAGUCGAGAGUCGUAAUGGACUCGGCGGACUGCUCAGUAACACGUGGAUAACGUGCCCUUAAGUGGAGGAUAAUUUCGGGAAACUGAGAAUAAUACUCCAUAGAUUAUGGAAUCUGGAAUGAUCCAUAGUCGAAAGUUCCGGCGCUUAAGGAUCGGUCUGCGGCCUAUCAGGUAGUAGUGGGUGUAACGUACCUACUAGCCUAUGACGGGUAUGGGCCUUGAGAGAGGGAGCCCAGAGUUGGAUUCUGAGACACGAAUCCAGGCCCUACGGGGCGCAGCAGUCGCGAAAACUUCACAAUGGGGGCAACCCCGAUGAGGGAAUUCCUAGUGCUAUCACAAUUGUGUUAGCUUUUCUCUAGCGUAGAUAA